GUAGUCGUGGCCGAGUGGUUAAGGCGAUGGACUCGAAAUCCAUUGGGUUGUAUCCGCGUAGGUUCGAAUCCUACCGACUGCG
RNAcentral lists this transfer RNA (82 nucleotides) under Centruroides sculpturatus (bark scorpion). RNAcentral's name for it is "tRNA-Ser". It matches the Rfam family "tRNA". Rfam says of the family: Transfer RNA (tRNA) molecules are approximately 80 nucleotides in length. Lineage: Eukaryota; Metazoa; Arthropoda; Arachnida; Scorpiones; Buthidae. The record is from RNAcentral.